RNAcentral lists this ribosomal RNA (446 nucleotides) under uncultured bacterium. Its description in RNAcentral is "partial 16S ribosomal RNA". It matches the Rfam family "Bacterial small subunit ribosomal RNA", at positions 338 to 795 of the family's 1533-position model. The record is from RNAcentral.
CCUACGGGAGGCUGCAGUCGAGAAUCAUUCACAAUGGGGGAAACCCUGAUGGUGCGACGCCGCGUGGGGGAAUGAAGGUCUUCGGAUUGUAAACCCCUGUCAUGUGGGAGCAAAUUAAAAAGAUAGUACCACAAGAGGAAGAGACGGCUAACUCUGUGCCAGCAGCCGCGGUAAUACAGAGGUCUCAAGCGUUGUUCGGAAUCACUGGGCGUAAGGCGUGCGUAGGCUGUUUCGUAAGUCGUGUGUGAAAGGCGCGGGCUCAACCCGCGGACGGCACAUGAUACUGCGAGACUAGAGUAAUGGAGGGGGAAGCGGAAUGCUCGGUGUAGCAGUGAAAUGCGUAGAUAUCGAGAGGAACACUCGUGGCGAAGGCGGGUUCCUGGACAUUAACUGACGCUGAGGCACGAAGGCCAGGGGAGCGAAAGGGAUUAGAUACCCUUGUAGUC